GAUGAAGAACGUAGCGAAAUGCGAUACUUGGUGUGAAUUGCAGAAUCCCGUGAACCAUCGAGUCUUUGAACGCAAGUUGCGCCCGAAGCCACUAGGCCGAGGGCACGCCUGCCUGGGCGUCACACGUCGUUGCCCCCCCCCAUCUACUCCUUCGGGAUUGUGGGGGGCGGAUGAUGGCCUCCCGUGCGCCUAGCCGCGCGGUUGGCAUAAAUACCAAGUCCUCGGCGACGCACGCCACGACAAUCGGUGGUUGCGAAACCUCGGUUGCCCGUCGUGUGCGUUCGUCGCGCAUCGAGGGCUCGAAAAAAUGCUCGGCUCCGGCUCGGCUUUCAACGCGACCCCAGGUCAGGCGGGGUUACCCGCUGAAUUUAAGCAUAUCAAUAAGCGGAGGA
This 392-nucleotide unclassified non-coding RNA is filed under the name soil metagenome. Its description in RNAcentral is "partial contains 5.8S ribosomal RNA, internal transcribed spacer 2, and large subunit ribosomal RNA". The stretch from base 1 to 122 matches the Rfam family "5.8S ribosomal RNA", at positions 35 to 154 of the family's 154-position model. The record is from RNAcentral.